GACGAACGCGGCGGCGUGCCUAAUACAUGCAAGUCGAGCGGAGUUUUUAAAAGCUUGCUUUUAAAAACUCAGCGGCGGACGGGUGAGUAACACGUGGGCAACCUGCCCUGUAGACUGGGAUAACUUCGGGAAACCGAAGCUAAUACCGGAUAAUCAUAGAAGUUGCAUAGCUUCUAUGUAAAAGUUGGGUUUACCUAACACUACAGGAUGGGCCCGCGUCGCAUUAGCUAGUUGGUAAGGUAACGGCUUACCAAGGCGACGAUGCGUAGCCGACCUGAGAGGGUGAUCGGCCACACUGGGACUGAGACACGGCCCAGACUCCUACGGGAGGCAGCAGUAGGGAAUCUUCCGCAAUGGACGAAAGUCUGACGGAGCAACGCCGCGUGAGCGAUGAAGGCCCUUCGGGUCGUAAAGCUCUG
This 419-nucleotide ribosomal RNA is filed under the name Bacilli bacterium oral taxon C43. RNAcentral describes it as "bacterial SSU rRNA". It matches the Rfam family "Bacterial small subunit ribosomal RNA", at positions 28 to 435 of the family's 1533-position model. The record is from RNAcentral. Lineage: Bacteria; Bacillati; Bacillota; Bacilli.